GGAGAGAUGGCUCAGUGGUUAAGAGCAUUAACUGUUCUUCCAGAGGUCCUGAGUUCAAUUCUCAGUCACCACA
This is a non-coding RNA of Mus musculus (house mouse), 73 nucleotides long. The record is from Rfam. NCBI's taxonomy places the organism in Eukaryota, Metazoa, Chordata, Mammalia, Rodentia, Muridae.